RNAcentral lists this ribosomal RNA (688 nucleotides) under uncultured Cytophagales bacterium. RNAcentral describes it as "bacterial SSU rRNA". It matches the Rfam family "Bacterial small subunit ribosomal RNA", at positions 39 to 722 of the family's 1533-position model. Lineage: Bacteria; Pseudomonadati; Bacteroidota; Sphingobacteriia; Sphingobacteriales. The record is from RNAcentral.
GCGACAGGCCUAACACAUGCAAGUCGAGGGGUAACAUGAGAGCUUGCUCUUGAUGACGACCGGCGCACGGGUGAGUAACGCGUAUGCAACCUUCCUUUAACUGGAGAAUAGCCCCCGGAAACGGGGAUUAAUGCUCCAUGGCACUCUGAAUACGCCUGUAUUAAGAGUUAAAGUUCCGACGGUUAAAGAUGGGCAUGCGUGACAUUAGCUAGUUGGCGGGGUAACGGCCCACCAAGGCAACGAUGUCUAGGGGUUCUGAGAGGAAGGUCCCCCACACUGGUACUGAGACACGGACCAGACUCCUACGGGAGGCAGCAGUGAGGAAUAUUGGUCAAUGGACGCAAGUCUGAACCAGCCAUGUCGCGUGCAGGAUGACUGCCCUAUGGGUUGUAAACUGCUUUUAUACGGGAAGAAAGGUAUCUACGUGUAGAUAUUUGCCGGUACCGUACGAAUAAGCAUCGGCUAGCUCCGUGCCAGCAGCCGCGGUAAUACGGAGGAUGCGAGCGUUAUCCGGAUUUAUUGGGUUUAAAGGGUGCGUAGGCGGAAUGGUAAGUCAGCGGUGAAAUACUGCAGCUCAACUGUAGAACUGCCGUUGAUACUGUCAUUCUUGAGUAUAGAUGAGGUAGGCGGAAUGAGUAGUGUACCGGUGAAAUGCAUAGAUAUUACUCAGAACACCAAUUGCGAAGGC